GUCUAUGGCCAUGCCACCCUGAACAAGCCUGAUCCCAUCUGAUCUCGGAAGCUAAGCAGAUUCGGACCUGGUUAGUACUUGGAUGGGAAACCACCUAGGAAGACCAAGUGCUGUAGGCG
Molecule: ribosomal RNA, 119 nt
Filed under: Pteropus alecto (black flying fox)
Lineage: Eukaryota; Metazoa; Chordata; Mammalia; Chiroptera; Pteropodidae
Source: RNAcentral